Molecule: unclassified non-coding RNA, 286 nt
Filed under: Hevea brasiliensis (rubber tree)
Lineage: Eukaryota; Viridiplantae; Streptophyta; Magnoliopsida; Malpighiales; Euphorbiaceae
Source: RNAcentral
GUUGGGGCAGUAUGGGAUAAGGGUUAACAGUAUCUCGCCGUUUACUGUCGUGACCCCAAUGAUGAAAAAUCUUUUGGGGAUAAAGGACAAGAGAGAGGCAGAGGAAUUUAUUUCAUCAAUUGGGAACUUGAAAACUGUGUUAUUGGAACCUGAAGAUAUUGCAAACGCAGCUCUAUAUCUAGCAAGUGAUGAGUCCAAGUAUGUGAGCGGGAUGAACUUGGUGGUCGAUGGAGGCUAUCAUGUCACCAAUCCAUCGUUUGCAUUUGCAAUGAAAAACUUAUAUUCU